Molecule: long non-coding RNA, 782 nt
Filed under: Felis catus (domestic cat)
Lineage: Eukaryota; Metazoa; Chordata; Mammalia; Carnivora; Felidae
Description: lncRNA (ENSFCAG00000047303.1)
Source: RNAcentral
GGAAUGAAAGGGUGAGGAGGCUGGAAACAGCCGAGCAGCAGGCCCGGAGGCAGGGGCUAAACGGAAAGAGAUUCCAGAGUUCAGAAAGCACUAGACGGGGAGGCUGCAGGGACCCGGAACGUGGGGAGAACACCCAAGUCAUCACCCUGCCUGUAUUCGCCCCACUGCUCAGCAGAGACCCAGGCACCCAGGAGAGACACAGAAUGCAUUCCCUGAGUGAAGGCACAGCAGGAGGGGUGGAUAGAAUUGGCUGGUUUCUUCAGUGGCCAAGACUUGAAGCAGGCCUGGCAACCAGGCUGAAACACCACUGGCAGAAACCCAGCACCCACACAGCCAGGCAUGGGCUGGGGUUCCCCAGGGAGGACCAUCAAUCUUCUCACCCACCUAAGGCAUUUGGCCGCAGGAGGAGGGCCUCAGAGUUCCUACCCGAUGCUGAGUGGGACCCAAGGGAACAGGAUGCCAGGCCUCUGCGGGUCACCCGUGGUGGUAUGUGUGAAACCCCGGGCAGAGAACCCAGCGUGAGCCACGGGCCCAUCCCCAUCGGCCCAGCUCAGCCUGGCAAGGAGGCAGCCAGGUCCCGGAGAGCAGGGGCCCCAGAACCAGCUUCCAGAAUUGGGGGUGUCUCCCCAUCCUGACUUUCCUCCACAACCCACCUGGGGUCUGUCACUCUACACCACCCAAAGCUCUUUACAUCGUGCCCUGUGUUGCAAUUCAGUACAAGUGCCCUGUGCGGAAGGGUGGCCUUUUACUCAUUCCAGAAAUAAAUGGCCAUCAAGCACCCA